CUGUAACAAAUUUCUGUAGUUUUCACAGCAUUAUUACUGUAAAAUGAGCAAAUGCUUACUGUAGAACUUGUAUACAGCAAGUUGCUGUAGAUCUGCAAAGCAUCAUGGUCUUUUUUCAACGGCGGGUAAAUUCUACAGUAAAAAUAUUUUUUCUGUGAAUCACAAUACAGCAAUUUCUAGAGGAUUUUUUUCUUCAGCCAAGGAAAGCUACGAGAUUCCACACUUUCAUCUGAAUUUUUACUUCAGAAAGGGUUGAUGACGUAUGGACCCUGCAUAUGCAAGUGCGACGACCUCCGCAGGCUGAAACCAGUCUCUCGAGCUGAAAGAAAACGCAGCUGAGGAGAUAUGAGACUGCAGACAAGAGCCAUCGACCAUCGUUCCAGAAAACUUCCACCUAAACAGAUGCUGAGGCCCAGAUUUCCCUGCCAAGCACUCCAAGGCUCAUCAUGCUCGGGUAGAGUCCAGCCCAGGAAGUCAACUAGUUCAGGUCCAGU
This is a non-coding RNA of Paramisgurnus dabryanus, 494 nucleotides long. The record is from RefSeq and is a predicted model, not a curated record. NCBI's taxonomy places the organism in Eukaryota, Metazoa, Chordata, Actinopteri, Cypriniformes, Cobitidae.